CUACGGGAGGCACCAGUGAGGAAUAUUGCACAAUGGGGGGAACCCUGAUGCAGCAACGCCGCGUGGAGGAUGACGCAUUUCGGUGUGUAAACUCCUUUUAUAUGUCAAGAAAAUGACGGUAGCAUAUGAAUAAGCACCGGCUAACUCCGUGCCAGCAGCCGCGGUAAUACAGGAUGGUGCAAGCGUUACUCGGAAUCACUGGGCGUAAAGGACGCGUAGGCGGGUUGGAAAGUCAGGUGUGAAAUCCUACAGCUUAACUGUAGAACUGCACUUGAAACUUCUAAUCUAGAGUAUGGGAGGGGGAGAUGGAAUUAGUGGUGUAGGGGUAAAAUCCGUAGAUAUCACUAGGAAUACCUAAAGCGAAGGCGAUCUCCUGGAACAUUACUGACGCUAAGGCGUGAAAGCGUGGGGAGCAAACAGGAUUAGAUACCCGAGUAGUC
RNAcentral lists this ribosomal RNA (440 nucleotides) under uncultured bacterium. RNAcentral's name for it is "partial 16S ribosomal RNA". It matches the Rfam family "Bacterial small subunit ribosomal RNA", at positions 339 to 795 of the family's 1533-position model. The record is from RNAcentral.